ACAACCUCCACCUGGCAACCUUCAUUUAACGCAAAACAAAGAGCCUCACUCCCCUGUAUGCUGAUGUUCCACAGGAAGGGCCCAGAGCUCAGAUGUUCCUCACAGACAAGGAAUUUAUCUCUGGGUUGGGCACGCUCUGAACUCCAAACACAUAUUCAGGUGCAACUGCCAUACAGGAUCAUCCUCAGGGUAUGCUCAAGUUAAAUUAUUGCUGUCGGGUGUGUCUACCAUAUACCAUCAUACCACAGGAUCAGCACAACUGAACCUGAGUGUAAAGAGGAAGAAGGCUAAGCAGAGUUGUGACUCUCCAACUGCAUUGGAGGAUUUUUAGGGAAAGGGCAUGAAGAACUUGAAGGAGGACCCUUCCUGCUUUGUUCCGUGUUGUUAAAAAUGACAAAGGUACAACGUACGAAACAAUACUUCGCGGCCAGAGGGAAGAACUGUAGUCAGGGAAGACUUCCUGGAGCUGGUAAGAAUUGAGCUAGGCCUGCUACUUGAAUUGUUAUGUGUUCCCAUUGCUACAGAAGAUCUAAACAUUUUGGAUCUGAGCAAGCAUUUCCCUGCCGUGUGAUUCACUGUGCUGCCCUGUGGUUGCUAUCAUCGUCAAACAGAAGGCUGACUGACAAAGAGGCCUCUAAAUCAAGGGGAGAAAAUCCUCCAGAGGAUACACUAAUUAUAGGUUAAAUAUCAGAGCACACAGUAUUCUGCCUUGGAAGAAAAUUUCCAUUCUGCAAGACAAGACUAUGACAAACAGGCAUUUUCUCAAAAUGACUAAUGCCUCAAAAGAAGGCAGAAUGAGAAACUUGAUGCUGUGUAUGGUAUUUCUGUGAAACAUCACCCCCCUGUUUGGUGGAAUAUUUAACUGCAUUUCAGUUUUCCUGAAGUCUGAAUAUCACAUUUGAUGCUGUUGCAAAGUCUCACUGUACCUGUCUCCUCCCAUAGUUAGGUGCCAAGCACUGUGGAUUCUGCCUCUCAGUGUCCAGACACCCAUUUUCCUUCCCACUGUUCCUUCCCCAUGGAGAAGCCUGUGGCUGGCUGACAGCAGAGAGAGAUGCUCAACU
RNAcentral lists this long non-coding RNA (1061 nucleotides) under Homo sapiens (human). Its description in RNAcentral is "HSALNT0042940". Lineage: Eukaryota; Metazoa; Chordata; Mammalia; Primates; Hominidae. The record is from RNAcentral.